UUCGAUAUCAAUCGAUAUUUUCAACUGUUGCUUCUAAUAUGCAUAUUUAAACUUUAGAUUCAAAAGUUGUAUUUUACAAAGGGACUAAGUAGAGAAUCGUUUUUUAAAAUUUUAUACCAAUUUGUAAAAUCUGUGAUCGAUUUGUGAUAAAAUCGAUAUUUUUCAAAUGUGUAUUUUUCCAAGUUUAUACAAAUCUAUAAAAUACGAGUAGAUUUAUAUUCAUCAUUAUAUAUAAUAACAUUUUGUAUUUCGAAAAUGUGAAUGAUUUUAGUCGAUGACGUGCCAUUUGAUAGAUGUCCCUUUUGUCAGGUGUUGUACGUCAGAAUCGUUUUUCAAAUCACGAAACAUGACUCGAUUACCAUUGUUACACGUGAACCAGUCGCGUUGCUAGCGAUUUACGAUCGAGAAGUACAUAAUCGUGAUACAAACAACGGAACAGCCGCGGUAAAUAUUUGCGAUGACACGGAUUUACCUUUUGCGACGAAUAUUAUACCAUGAACCAACUUCUUUCAUGUAAAUUGUACGAAAUUCGGAACUAAUUGUAUUAAAAUCGGAACUAAUUAUUCCAUUCUCUUUCUUUUUUUAUACACAAAUGGAUGAUAAUUAUUAGGUUGAUGAUAUUUAUGUACGUACAUAUGUAUAUAUCUCUAUAAACAUGAUUAAAAGUAUGGAAUUUUAAUGGAAAGUUGUAUCCACCAAAUAUUAUAGUCACUAUAUUGUUUCUGGCAGAUAACUAGGUUAUAUUAGUAUAGAUGCAAGUGGUAAGGAAAUCUAAGAAAUAUUUUGGACUAAGAAUUAUGUAUUUUUAAAUAAAUAAUAAAUGAAGUUCGAUAAAUGUACACGCUUAGUAGCCAAUGUAUACACAUAGAAUUUAGACUUUUAUUAGCUGAAGUUUACUGAUGUAUUGUAGCAGAUAUGUGUAUUGUUUAGUAAAUGAAUACUAAUUCACGAACUAACGAUAGGUUAUGUAAAUAUACACACUAGAAAUAGUAAACAUUUUUACAUUUAGCCAACAUCAAUCAAUAAAAGUAUAAAUUCAUAGUUCAAAUAAAAUCGUGAGAAUCGUACAGGAAGUUGCCAGACUAGUCAAGUACGAAACUAAUUAAUCACAAAAGUAUACAUUUUUAUACUCUGUCAACAUUUUUAUUCUUUGACUAAAUAUAAAUAUCACUAAAUCUUACGUAAAUGCAUAUAUUAAUUGUAAUCGAAAUACAGAAUUAAGAAAAUAUUAAAUAUGUUACUAGGUAUUACUAGGUUAAUCAAAUAAAGAACCAUUUCGAUUUAAAAAUUGAACCGGUACGAAAACAGAAGCAUUUUCACGACAUUUAUUUCAGUAUAUUUCUUUGUAUUUUCAUACAAAUGGCAAAACCGAAUUGUCCCCGAACCACAAUUUAUUUGGAUUAACAAGGUUUCUACCAUUUUAUCCGUUUCUCCUGUUUUCACGUAUUUUUAUAUUUUUCUACAUUUCCGUUUCAUUAGCAGCCGUGGAAUUAAAAGGAGAACAAUUGCAAUAUUUCUACGUUUAUUUCAUCUUUUUGUUUUUCGAGGAUUACGAUAGAAAUUCAACACUUUAUAACCUCGUUAGUUUGCGUUAUGCGUCGCCAGAGUUGCCUGAUAAGCCACCGAAACGCAGAAAAGAUCACAGAACACAUCCGCAUUGGAAUCCUCAUUGGGACAAAGAAAAUGAAAAGCUGAAUGAAUUAAGAUGAAGUUAAUAACGAUGAAAAUUAAUCACUAGACCGUGGAUGAUUAUAGAUAUCCAUAUUUUUAUAGUGGUUAUAAUUAAUGAAGAGUUGGAUGUCUUUCCGGAAGUGAGUAACAUAGAAGUUUCGUUUCGUUUGGUUACGAAAUGUGCCACGAUAUAAAGAGAAAACACUCGAUAUUUGAAGGUGAUUCGUCAUGAAGUUUCAUUAAAUCCGAGAGAUUUAACAACGACAUUCUUCUUCGUUAAUCAGAUUACCGGUCUCUGGUUUGCUUCACGGUGCGGAACGAAGUCAAAUGGAAUUGUCUUUGAAGAUCAAUGUGUAACGCCUCGGUUCUAUGGUCUUUGGAGACACCUCGACGAAAGAAUAUGGGCGGAGAGCAUUGAUAUGAAAGAUGAACGAUCGCCGUUAUUUUGGAGUGGAAAGAUUCACCUUCAGUUUUAAUUAAACUGCUGGAAAACCGUAUCGGAAGCUCCGACGAAAGCGGAGAGAAAGGGUUACUGAGACCUUACAUGUGGUGUUUACUUUGUACUACUCGUGCAACUAAUUGCCAUGACAAAGGGAGGGAAAUGUAACCCAUCGUCGACCCGAGUAAUGAUCGAUCAAAACUCCAUUAUUGACAUUCUUUUGAGUAACGCGUGCAAGAACGAUAGAAAAAAUCAAAUUAAAAUCAUUCGAAUAUGAUUAUCUUAUUUUCUGAGUGGAUGAGAGAAAUAUAAUAUGUACACAAGUACAUAGAAACAAAUUGAUUGCUUAGAUACUGCAAAAAUGUUAGGGGAAAUUAAUUGUUAUUUUAUAAUGGUUAUAUUUAUAUACGGAUAAAACUUGUCUGCUGUAUACUCUAUUUCUGGAAUACAACGGAAAUAGAAACAGUAUGUUUAGAUAUUUUUACUCCUUUCAGACAUCAAUUAUUUCAAAGCUUCUAUAUUUCUCAUCAAAUUUAUGCGCACAUAUUAAAUGUUA
Molecule: long non-coding RNA, 2666 nt
Organism: Bombus impatiens (common eastern bumble bee)
Lineage: Eukaryota; Metazoa; Arthropoda; Insecta; Hymenoptera; Apidae
Exons: 5
Source: RefSeq, a predicted model, not a curated record